UAAUGAAGAAUAUAUAUUUAGAUAAAUUGAGAGAGCUUAACUGAGAGAGAGAGAGAGAGAGAGAGAGAGAGAGAGAGAGAGAGAGAGAGAGAGAGAGAGAGAGAUUUGAGGUUAAACCAAGAGAGAGUUGAGAUUAGAAAAAUAGUUUUCUAGGUUAAAUAUGUGAAAAGAUUUUUUUAAAAAAGGGAAGAUCUUAGCUUAAAGAGAGAGAUUUGAGGUUAGAGAGUGACGGAGUUGAGAUUUUAGCGAGAGAGGUAGAGAGAGAGCAUAAUUAAAGGAAUAGGGAGAGAGAUAGAGUCGAGAUUAGUGGGAGUGAGAGAGUUGAGGUUUCAAAAAGAGAGCGGGAGAGAGAGAUUAGUGUAGAGAGAAAAAAAGAAUUUAAGUUUAGAGAGAGAAAGAUAAGGAUGGGAUGCUUGUUCAUUGAAGCCAACAAUCUCUUUACCAGCACAUACACAUAUUUGUAAGAUGUAUAAUCGAACUCGUAACCACUAGCUCUGAUACCUCUUGUCGGAUUGUUCGCACUAAUCAUUAAUUCUAAAAGUUCGAACUGUUAGAAAAAUAUAAUAAAUUUAUUUAAUGUGUAUAAAAAUAGCCCCCACAGGUUUUGAUUAUGAUUUGGUCUAAUCGGUCGGCCUCUCACCACUUUGAACGUAACUCUGCCCCACCUGAUCUUCUGCUAUUUUAAAUGUGACUCGACCCAACUCAGCCUCCUACCAUAGGGCAUGGUGCUAACCCCUUUAUGCCACAAAUAUAUAUGGCGGUGCGAACCAAAUAAUAAAAUUUCGUAUUAUUAAUAAUUGAAUGAGUAGAAAUCCAAUCCUUAGAAAUUCUUUUACCAUUGGUAAUUUUUCAUAACAUGAACCAAGCGCAUCAUUAUGUGCAUUAGGCUGGAUAUUUUAGCCCCUUUUUCUUGGAGUUAGUUAUACUUGAAGGAACAAAUGGCAACUAAGAGGGGGAGUGAAUUAGUUGACAACUAAAAACUCAAGUAAAAUUAAAUCCAGAUAAAAAUUGCACAACCAAAUAAAAGAAGAAAAUCAAACUCAGAUAACACAGAUGAUUUAUCCUGAUUCGGCCCUUCUGCCUACUCCUGUCCGGUUCUUCUUCUCCUCGAGAUACCGAUUUCACUAUCACUUGACCUUUUGAAUAGGGUAAGACCAAAGCCACUUACAAUCACACAAAACUUGUUUUACAAUCUCUCAAUAAGUUCACAAUUACAAAUCAAUGAACAAUUAGGACUUAGAGAAUUUUUCUGAAGUUGUAUAUAAACAACAUCCAAGCCUCCCUUUAAAUAUACUAGCCAUCAUUUCAAAAAUGGAACAAAAGCAUAAUUAAAUCAUAAUUGAUUUCAAUUUGAAUUUUAACCAUAUUUGCAAAUGUAUUUGAAUUAAUUUCAAAAUAAAUUUGAAUUUAUACCACAUUUGCAAAACUCAUUUGAAAUAUUACUAUAUUGAAAAGCUCAUUUGAAAUUAUACCAAAUUUGUAAAAUCCUUUUAAAUUAAUACUACAAAUGAAAACUUUUUGAAUUCAUUCCACAUUUGUGAAAGCUUUUGAAAUAAUACCAAACUUGUAAAAUACAUUUAUAUCAUAUUUCACAUUUUCAAAUUCAUACCAUAAUAAAAUCAUGUUUGAAUUUAUACCAUACAUAAAAUGACUUUCAUAUCAUAUUAAAAUAAUGGCUAAUUUGACAUUAAGCUCAAAUCAAACCCAAAACGCAAGUUGGUUAACUUGACUAGGUUGGCCGGCUCAAAUCCGAUAAAUUGUAAAGAAGUCCUCCAAAUUAUUGUUGUGGCAUUUGCAUCCAAUUUGGUACAAUUUGAUAUUGCCCGGGCCAAUUUGAACAAUUUGAUUGAAUGAUUACCUUUGAUCAAUUCCGGUUCAACUUGAGCCACUUUAAAUUCAACUAUAACCUGAAAUUGCUAAAUGACAAAUUAAAUUCAAUAUUUAUUUGUUAUCAUCAAAAUUUAUUAUUGGAUAAAAUCCAACAAUAGUAUUAGUCUUUAGGUUUUUUUUUAAUUUAUGAUUUUAGUUCUAAUCUUCUUUAAGUUUUCACAACUAGAUUUAUAAUUUUAUUAUUUUAGUUAAGUUCGUAUGGUCAAAAAUUAAAUUAGAUCAUACAAAAAUUACCUCAUAGCGAGAUUUAAACUAAGGCGGCAAACAUUACCUGAUGGUAACAUAACAAAUUUUCUUAUACAGUUAACAAAGUUAUUGAUAAUGAAAAAUUCAUUAAAACAAAAUUAUUGCAAUGCGAUGAAUUUUUUUCUACUUUUCUAACGUCCUUUGAAUUCAAGAAAUGCUACAGCCUAGUUCGCAUAAAAAUAGAAGAGUAUAAAUUGCCUUAUCGGUAUUCGAACUUUUACUUCGUGUUAUUUUGAUUCUUAAACUUUUAAUCAAAAUUUAUGAGAUUCUGAGUUUUUGGAACUGAUCACUUAAGCUCUUAGUUUAGAAUAAAGAUUAGUACGUAGUACUUUGUUUAUCUAUAUGUGUAUAUGUGCACCACAAAUUCAUCUAUACUUUGUUUAUUUUAUACUUUUAAUCUAAAUAAAUGUCCAAUUAUUAGGUGUUAAAAUGGCAAUAUCUACUUCUUCCAUAACCAGCUGGGAACUGUUAGCGAUUCACGCAACAGCAUCAAUUACUCUACGCUGUACGGAGAUGACCAGAGAAUGCUAUAGGAUAUUCAAGCAACUUUUACUGAAUUAGAGGUUAAGAAGGCGAUCUUCUCUAGUGCGUCGGAAAAAGCACCUGAGCCGGACAGAUUACCAAUGUUGUUCUACCAAAAAUACUGGGACCUUCUCAAAAAUGAUAUAAUGGCACUGUUCGAUGACUUCCACGCGGUAUCGGCGUGCGACACCUAAAAAGUAUGAACUCUGCACUUUUGAUGAGGGGUCUUUGGAAUUUCCAUACUGCAUCGGCACUACCUUGGGUACAGCUCAUAAGAGAAAAACACUACAAGCGCUUUCUGCUCUCCUUGAGCAGCAGAAUUCCAGCUGGUUGCUCACCACUUUGGAAAAACCUCCUAAAAACCGCUCCACCGUUCUUCACUUCUAUUUCCUAUUUAACGGCGAACGGGAAAAAUACACCUUUCUGGAAUGCUCGUUGGUGUUUGGAGUCAACCCUGCAGGCCAGCUUCCCUCAUUUAUACGCUGCAGCGCACCUCAAGCAUGCGUCGGUCAAGACUUGGCUUGCAAAGUACGCGCUACAACUCCAUCAUGGUUUCGUGUCUCCGCUGAUUGAGAAAGGUCAGGAUGAGAUACAGCGCUUCUCUGACCUUGUAGUUGAUUUUCCCCUUUCAAGCGAUGUGGACUCGAUUGCUUGGAGAUGGAACAACGGUAGGAAAUUCUCAGUCCACAAUGCUUACAACUUCCUCAUCUUUGGGGGUGUCAUUGAUCGAAGGAUCUCUCAGCUAUGGAAACUGAAAAUUCCUCUCAAAAUCAAAAUUUUCACGUGGCUAGCCUCAAAGAAUAGGGUAUUAACGGCGGACACUCUGUCCAAGCGUGGCUGGCAGGGGCCGUCGAUUUGUGCUCUGUGUCACAGGAAUGGAGAAAACCUUGAACACUUACUUUUCGAAUGUACGUAUGCAAAGUCCCUGUGGAGCAUCCUGCUACAUGGAAUGCCGACCACUAUACAUCUCUUAUUAAAUCUACCGGGGGAUCUGCCAAUUAGAUGGAGCAGAGCAAGGAAUUCACAGUCAGGUCAGGCAAAGUUACGCCUCGAUCACUUCUUCGCAGCGGCGUGUUGGGAGCUUUGGAAGGAAAGAAACUCUCGAAUAUUCGAAAAUCGAGCAGCGGGAAGCGACGAAGUGGGCAACAAAGUGCUAUCGUCGGUUAACCUUUGGAAUUCUACCCUGAGGGAUUAGGGAGACUGGAGGAGUUUGAAGCUUACCCACGUUUCUCCUAUUACCUUGUAUCUUGUAUUUUGUCAACUCUCAAAUAAGGGGCUCCCUGUUUAAUCAAAAAAAAAAAAAUGGCAAUAUCUUAGUGGGCAAUUUGAUUGAAAUAUAAAAUAAAUGAUCGGGGGCGAAAGAUAUGCGCAUUUAAUAAUGUGAGCUGAAAUUGAAUUUUCAUUAAGCUUUUGACUAGAAUUUUUU
This 4084-nucleotide long non-coding RNA is filed under the name Ananas comosus (pineapple). RNAcentral's name for it is "long non-coding RNA (ACOM_LNC033473)". The record is from RNAcentral. Lineage: Eukaryota; Viridiplantae; Streptophyta; Magnoliopsida; Poales; Bromeliaceae.